UAAACAAAGACCUCCUAACUUUGUUUAUGAAAUCCUAAAACUUUUCUUUUUCAUAAUAAUCUCCCUAAAAGGCCACCAAAUCCGGUGGUCUUUU
This 94-nucleotide small RNA is filed under the name Streptococcus rubneri. Its description in RNAcentral is "Cia-dependent small RNA csRNA1". It matches the Rfam family "Cia-dependent small RNA csRNA1". The record is from RNAcentral. RNAcentral also lists the same sequence under 1 other name. Lineage: Bacteria; Bacillati; Bacillota; Bacilli; Lactobacillales; Streptococcaceae.